This 446-nucleotide ribosomal RNA is filed under the name uncultured bacterium. RNAcentral describes it as "partial 16S ribosomal RNA". It matches the Rfam family "Bacterial small subunit ribosomal RNA", at positions 338 to 795 of the family's 1533-position model. The record is from RNAcentral.
CCUACGGGGGGCAGCAGUCGAGAAUUAUUCACAAUGGGGGAAACCCUGAUGGUGCGACGCCGCGUGGGGGAAUGAAGGUCUUCGGAUUGUAAACCCCUGUCAUGUGGGAGCAAAUUAAAAAGAUAGUACCACAAGAGGAAGAGACGGCUAACUCUGUGCCAGCAGCCGCGGUAAUACAGAGGUCUCAAGCGUUGUUCGGAAUCACUGGGCGUAAAGCGUGCGUAGGCUGUUUCGUAAGUCGUGUGUGAAAGGCGCGGGCUCAACCCGCGGACGGCACAUGAUACUGCGAGACUAGAGUAAGGGAGGGGGAACCGGAAUUCUCGGUGUAGCAGUGAAAUGCGUAGAUAUCGAGAGGAACACUCGUGGCGAAGGCGGGUUCCUGGACAUUAACUGACGCUGGGGCACGAAGGCCAGGGGAGCGAAAGGGAUUAGAUACCCCAGUAGUC